GAUGAUUUAGAAAAUGGUUCAAGAAGAGACAAUUUAAGAAUUAUUGGACUACCAGAAGACCAAGACAAAAGAAAAAGCCUGGACAUAAUACUAGAGGAAAUUAUCCAGGAAAACUGUCCCGAGAUCCUAGAACAAGAGGGGAAAGUGGAGAUUGAAAGAAUCCACAGAUCACCUCCUGUACUUAAUCCCCAACUGACAACACCAAGAAAUGUUAUAGCCAAAUUAAAAAACAAUCAGAUGAAAGAACAGGUAUUACAAGCUGCCAAGAAGAAGCCAUUCCGAUACCAUGGAAACACAGUGAGGAUAACACAGGAUCUGUCUACAUCCACACUGAAGGACCAAAAGGCAUGGAAUACAAUAUUCCGGAAAGCAAGGAAACUAGGCCUGCAGCCAAGAAUAAAAUACCCAUCAAAACUGACUAUAUUCUUACAGGGGAAAGUAUGGUCAUUUAACACAACAGAAGAGUUCCAAGCAUUUAUAAAUAAAAGACGAGACCAGAACAGAAAAUUUGAAGUCCAACCACAGAACUCAAGAGAAUCAUCAAAAGGUAGAAGAGGAUGAUCCAGUCAAGUUCUUUGCUAUUUGGUCACUACAUUCUUCUUCUGGAACCAACAAGAAACUUGCUGCUGAGAUUAUUAUUAAGACAGCUGAAAGUCUGGUUUGUGUAAUUAAAAUACUAAUUGGAAAUUCACCAUUAAUGAGAGGAAAUCUGAGUCCAAAAUUUCCCUUUCUUUUCUUUUCUUUUCUUUUCUUUUCUUUUCUUUUCUUUUCUUUUCUUUUCUUUUUCUUUUCCAAAGUGGUUACUUUCCAAUGGUGGCAGAUGCUGAGUUUGUGAAUUCAUUGUGUGUCCUGAGAUGGAGAGAAAUCUCUCCAAGCUAGGGCUUUUUUUUCCUAUCCCCAAAUUUUUGUUGAUUGUCUACUUAAAUUAACCUUCUCUAAUGAGAUGGAUCUAUGCUGGCUAUGUCUGUAAUUUACUGGCUGUGAAAUUAGUUAGUCUGGGUAAUUUAUCCCAGGGUGAGCUCACUAAGUGAACCACCAGGUAUAAUGAAGGAAACAGAGAUAUUUUAUAGGCCAGAACUUUGUGACAGACUCAAAAUAUGCAGAAUAUGGCAAUUCCACACUCCAGAUGACCCCCAUCAGUUACCUGAACACCUCUAAAGAGAGUAAAUUCCCUUUGGGUAACUACGCAGGGGCAAAUUAGCUUCUUAACCAGAUAACCACCAGAUGUCAGUGUUGGCUGAAAACAACAGUUAUGAAUCUACCCUCUUGUGUAAGUAAAAAAUAAAUUAAUUAAUUAAUCUUUGUUUUGUUUUGUU
Molecule: long non-coding RNA, 1316 nt
Filed under: Monodelphis domestica (gray short-tailed opossum)
Lineage: Eukaryota; Metazoa; Chordata; Mammalia; Didelphimorphia; Didelphidae
Description: lncRNA (ENSMODG00000042565.1)
Source: RNAcentral